Molecule: long non-coding RNA, 2024 nt
Organism: Quercus lobata
Lineage: Eukaryota; Viridiplantae; Streptophyta; Magnoliopsida; Fagales; Fagaceae
Exons: 2
Source: RefSeq, a predicted model, not a curated record
UGCUUUUUGCCGUCUGAAAGCUGAAACAAAUGGGCACGUUAUUCUGUUUUGGCUUUGCUUUGGCUUUUUGUUGUUCUAUUCGGAGAUGUUGAGACGUGCACAUUUACAAGAAGAUAUAUUGAACUGGUAGCUUUUCACUCUUUUUUUGCUGAAACUAGUAGCUUUUAAUUAUUCUGAUUACAAUAACUCAUUAUCCUGAUUACAAUAUAAUUUAUCCUGAUUACUAUCUCAUUUAUUUUAUUCCUUAUUUAUAAAUUUCCAUACUUAUUCGCAAAAACACUCUCUGUCUACCCUGCUUCAUCUGCUCCUUUCUUAUUUAUUGGCUAAUUAAUCUAAUCUUAUGGAUUCCAAAGUAUGUUGACUACCAACUUUCUUAUUAAUUAAAAUCUAGAUUACUACACUUCAAUUUACGCUAUGAUCAUGUUAUUAGUGCACUUUUUGUUAGGACAGAGCUAAUAUUCUAUUUUUGUGUCUAGCAAAAUAUGGAUAAUGGUAAACGACCCCAGAUGGAAGAAGCCGAUUUGACUAAUCCGGAAAUCUUGAAAUAUUAUUUUUUGUUGUGCAAUGAAAUAUUCCCAGACGCCAAAAAAAUGGGUAUACAGGAGUUUAAAUGUAUUAAGAAGGAACUGAAUGAGAGAUUUAACUUGGAUUUUAGGAUAGUAGAUGUUGUGAACAAAUAUAGAGAUAUUUAUUACAAGUGGCAAAUUUGGGAAAAUUUUGUUAAUAAUAAGGAAUUCGUCUUAGCCCACGCCUGUACAGCGGACGUAUCAUGGCUGCAAAGUAAGUCCGAGGAAUGUCUUGAUACAAUUUCUGUAGAUAAAGAAGGUCAGCCAAGUAUAGGCCUCUUCAAAAUUUGUAUUUGGAAGCUCAACAAAUGGCAGCAAAGGAAGUGAUUCUUUGAAGCCAACGGCAACAGUACAUGAGCAUGUUGGGGACUCUUCAAGGGACUUGGAAUUCCAUGAGCCAAAAACCAACUCCUCCAAUGAAGAAAUCAGUUUAUUAGAUGACCGCCACAAUAUUUCUGAAAGUAGCAAAUGUGUAAGAUUAGGCGGCUACUGUCCAAAGAGAAUAAAAAUGAAUGGUAGUCGUUGGACACGGACUGCUUUAGAGGAUGACGUGUUUCAGGUGAGAAAAACAUUGAGGUUGGUCUCAAAAACUUGUGGCUUGAUGUCAAAUAAACAUUUCUAUUUGUUCACGGGGAGAUUAUUGAUGAAUCCACGUGAAAGAUCGUGGUUUUAUUUUGUCAAGCCCUCAUUGCGUUUGAGAUAUCUAGAAAAACAGUUUAAAAAGUUUAGUGCAGACAGAGUGAUACCAGAGCCGACCCAACCGACCGGCGCCGACCCUACCGUACCGCCUCUGGCUCCAACCGACUGAGCCGAGGCCAGCGAUCGGAAGGAGAAUCCUCGCCUGAGUCCAUGGACUCUGACCAACAACUGACCGUGAGUCACUGAGUUGCCUCUUGCAGCCAGCUCGGCACGACCAGGCCAGCUACCUCCUACCGCCGAUUUGAAGUAUGUCCUGAUCUGAAAAAUCUAAGUUUCACCUGUUGGUAUCUUACUAGUUUUGCAAUGUGAUAUACACAUGAAUGUUAAUUAAUUAGUUCUAGAGGUUAUCUCUUAAUUAAUCUUUUUUACUUGCUCUUUUAUUUCCUAAGGUAAGUUUGACUUUCAGUUUGCUAUUUUAUUUCUCUUAAAAGUGUUAGCCCAAAAUGAAGAUGUUGAAAUGGUCUGUUCAUGACUUGCAACCAGCCAAGAACUCAAAUGAGUGAUUGAAAGUAAGGGUGUGCAUGCAUGGGUAGGGUUGGAAAUUUACUUCAGAAUAUGCAGGAUUGAACAAAAGUUCAGAAGUAUGUUGGAAUACUCAAAAUUAGAUUCGUAUUGCAAAGACUCCAAGUCCCAAUGGUGUGAAUUUUAAAGCGCACCACCCUGUUAAAAUCCAUCCACUUGAGUAUGUAAGUAUUUCAGACCCACUUGCAAGAGAGUCUAUGUAUGAAUUGAAUAAAGUUUGAGCAAACAUUCGAUUUA